GUUAUAUACAGUAGAGAGGCUAUAUACAGUAGAGAGGCUAUAUACAGUAGAGAGGCUAUAUACAGUAGAGAGGUUAUAUACAGUAGAGAGGCUAUAUACAGUAGAGAGGCUAUAUACAGUAGAGAGGCUAUAUACAGUAGAGAGGCUAUAUACAGUAGAGAGGCUAUAUACAGUAGUGAGGCUAUAUACAGUAGAGAGGCUAUAUACAGUAGAGAGGUUAUAUACAGUAGAGAGGCUAUAUACAGUAGAGAGGUUAUAUACAGUAGAGAGGCUAUAUACAGUAGAGAGGCUAUAUACAGUAGAGAGGCUAUAUACAGUAGAGAGGCUAUAUACAGUAGAGAGGCUAUAUACAGUAGAGAGGCUAUAUACAGUAGAGAGGCUAUAUACAGU
RNAcentral lists this long non-coding RNA (390 nucleotides) under Salmo salar (Atlantic salmon). RNAcentral's name for it is "lncRNA (ENSSSAG00000103954.1)". The record is from RNAcentral. Lineage: Eukaryota; Metazoa; Chordata; Actinopteri; Salmoniformes; Salmonidae.